Molecule: long non-coding RNA, 862 nt
Organism: Hylaeus anthracinus
Lineage: Eukaryota; Metazoa; Arthropoda; Insecta; Hymenoptera; Colletidae
Exons: 3
Source: RefSeq, a predicted model, not a curated record
GGGCUCGAUAAUCUAAAAAUUCGACCGCGUUAAAUACAAUUCGCCGAUGACCGACGACCAAUAGUACGAUAACAGCGGCCAGCGAUAUCGCUGUAGCUAAUUAAUUCGAGCCAGCCUUGAACUCUCAGCGUUAACCAGAACAAAGAUCGCGCGUAGAUGUCUUAAAAGCGAAUCCCGUUCGAGAUUCGCACGGAUCGUCGAUGUAGGAGCGCCCCGGCCUUUGCGACGCGAUUAGGAAAACUCGUUAUCUCCCGCUGUAUGAGGAAGAAAGAUUUAUCUCGUUGUUUACUAAACACCGUGUCUCGAGUUAAUAGGAAUCGCGGAACGAAGUUUACAAACUCCUGCCCCAGCCUUUCGAGAUAUACGCACGAAUAAUACACAAAAUCGCCGCACGCCCCGGCCUUUUUUUUAUUUAUUUUAUUAUCCUCUUUCGUUCCGUGAUAGUAAACCGUUUCAUUCAUGCUCUGCCCGCCGCUAGAGAAUGUUUAUUAUGAUGUCGGGGGCGAAAGGAGAUAGAUAGGCUCGACCGAGAAGAAAUUCACCGACGUUUCGUGCGACCUGAACAGACUAAGGAUCUUAUACGCUCAAGCUUGGAUCACGAGAAACAGAGGAGGAUCUCUGACACCAAAAGUUGAGAAACGAAGCCAGUUCCUGGAUCUUACAGCCACUUUCCAAGAACGAUCACAUCUACAGUCCCGACAACUGCUGACCUGCUAUAGGACUUGGACCCACGACUGCGUUUGAAACAAGUCGCCAAACAACCGACACUUUUUAAAUAAUUAAUUAUUCUUGAAACAAGCACUGUUUGAAACGCGUAAGUCGGACGGACGGUAGAUGUCGAAGGAUAAAUAGAGCAACCAAU